Molecule: transfer RNA, 73 nt
Filed under: Sus scrofa (pig)
Lineage: Eukaryota; Metazoa; Chordata; Mammalia; Artiodactyla; Suidae
Rfam family: tRNA
About the family: Transfer RNA (tRNA) molecules are approximately 80 nucleotides in length. Their secondary structure includes four short double-helical elements and three loops (D, anti-codon, and T loops). Further hydrogen bonds mediate the characteristic L-shaped molecular structure. tRNAs have two regions of fundamental functional importance: the anti-codon, which is responsible for specific mRNA codon recognition, and the 3' end, to which the tRNAs corresponding amino acid is attached (by aminoacyl-tRNA synthetases). tRNAs cope with the degeneracy of the genetic code in two manners: having more than one tRNA (with a specific anti-codon) for a particular amino acid; and 'wobble' base-pairing, i.e. permitting non-standard base-pairing at the 3rd anti-codon position.
Source: Rfam by way of RNAcentral
UCCCAGGUUGCCUAGUGGUUAAGGAUCCAGCAUUAACACUGCUGUGGCAUGGGUUCACUCCCUGACCUGGGAA